AUGCCGGUAGCUCAGUGGCAAGAGCGCCUGUCUGAAAAACAGGAGGACACCAGUUCGAUUCUGGUCCGGCAUG
This 73-nucleotide transfer RNA is filed under the name Chloroflexota bacterium. RNAcentral's name for it is "Chloroflexi bacterium tRNA-Phe". It matches the Rfam family "tRNA". Rfam says of the family: Transfer RNA (tRNA) molecules are approximately 80 nucleotides in length. The record is from RNAcentral. Lineage: Bacteria; Bacillati; Chloroflexota.